This 467-nucleotide ribosomal RNA is filed under the name uncultured bacterium. Its description in RNAcentral is "bacterial SSU rRNA". It matches the Rfam family "Bacterial small subunit ribosomal RNA", at positions 339 to 797 of the family's 1533-position model. The record is from RNAcentral.
AUACGGGAGGCAGCAGUGGGGAAUAUUGGGCAAUGGCCGCAAGGCUGACCCAGCGACGCCGCGUGUGGGAGGACGCCCUUCGGGGUGUAAACCACUGUCAGGGGGGACGAAUGGCGGGUCGGUGAAUAGUCGAUCCGAUUGACGGUACCUCCAGAGGAAGCGCCGGCUAACUCUGUGCCAGCAGCCGCGGUAAGACAGAGGGCGCGAGCGUUGUUCGGAAUCAUUGGGCGUAAAGCGCGCGCAGGCGGGUUCGCAAGUCGGGAGUGAAAUUCCGGGGCUCAACCCCGGAGCGGCUCCCGAAACUGCGAGUCUAGGGACCGGUAGGGGCCGGUGGAAUUCCCGGUGUAGCGGUGGAAUGCGUAGAGAUCGGGAAGAACACCCGUGGCGAAGGCGGCCGGCUGGGCCGGAUCCGACGCUGAGGCGCGAAAGCGUGGGGAGCAAACAGGAUUAGAUACCCGUGUAGUCCC